RNAcentral lists this ribosomal RNA (1367 nucleotides) under uncultured bacterium. RNAcentral describes it as "bacterial SSU rRNA". It matches the Rfam family "Bacterial small subunit ribosomal RNA". The record is from RNAcentral.
AGUGGCGGACGGGUGAGUAAUGUCUGGGAAACUGCCCGAUGGAGGGGGAUAACUACUGGAAACGGUAGCUAAUACCGCAUAACGUCGCAAGACCAAAGAGGGGGACCUUAGGGCCUCUUGCCAUCGGAUGUGCCCAGAUGGGAUUAGCUAGUAGGUGGGGUAACGGCUCACCUAGGCGACGAUCCCUAGCUGGUCUGAGAGGAUGACCAGCCACACUGGAACAGAGACACGGCCCAGACUCCUACGGGAGGCAGCAGUGGGGAAUAUUGCACAAUGGGGGAAACCCUGAUGCAGCAACGCCGCGUGAGUGAUGAAGGUCUUCGGAUCGUAAAGCUCUGUCUUCAGGGACGAUAAUGACGGUACCUGAGGAGGAAGCCACGGCUAACUACGUGCCAGCAGCCGCGGUAAUACGUAGGUGGCGAGCGUUGUCCGGAUUUACUGGGCGUAAAGGGAGCGUAGGCGGAUUUUUAAGUGAGAUGUGAAAUACCCGGGCUCAACUUGGGUGCUGCAUUUCAAACUGGAAGUCUAGAGUGCAGGAGAGGAGAGUGGAAUUCCUAGUGUAGCGGUGAAAUGCGUAGAGAUUAGGAAGAACACCAGUGGCGAAGGCGGCUCUCUGGACUGUAACUGACGCUGAGGCUCGAAAGCGUGGGGAGCAAACAGGAUUAGAUACCCUGGUAGUACGCCGUAAACGAUGAAUACUAGGUGUAGGGGUUGUCAUGACCUCUGUGCCGCCGCAAACGCAUUAAGUAUUCCGCCUGGGGAGUACGGUCGCAAGAUUAAAACUCAAAGGAAUUGACGGGGGCCCGCACAAGCAGCGGAGCAUGUGGUUUAAUUCGAAGCAACGCGAAGAACCUUACCUAGACUUGACAUCUCCUGAAUUACUCUUAAUCGAGGAAGUCCCUUCGGGGACAGGAAGACAGGUGGUGCAUGGUUGUCGUCAGCUCGUGUCGUGAGAUGUUGGGUUAAGUCCCGCAACGAGCGCAACCCUUAUUGUUAGUUGCUACCAUUAAGUUGAGCACUCUAGCAAGACUGCCCGGGUUAACCGGGAGGAAGGUGGGGAUGACGUCAAAUCAUCAUGCCCCUUAUGUCUAGGGCUACACACGUGCUACAAUGGCAAGUACAAAAAGAUGCAAUACCGCAAGGUGGAGCUAAACUUAAAAACUUGUCUCAGUUCGGAUUGUAGGCUGAAACUCGCCUACAUGAAGCUGGAGUUGCUAGUAAUCGCGAAUCAGAAUGUCGCGGUGAAUACGUUCCCGGGCCUUGUACACACCGCCCGUCACACCAUGAGAGUUGGCAAUACCCAAAGUUCGUGAGCUAACCCGUAAGGGAGGCAGCGACCUAAGGUAGGGUCAGCGAUUGGGGUGAAG